Molecule: long non-coding RNA, 559 nt
Organism: Acinonyx jubatus (cheetah)
Lineage: Eukaryota; Metazoa; Chordata; Mammalia; Carnivora; Felidae
Exons: 2
Source: RefSeq, a predicted model, not a curated record
CAAAAGAUGAAAUUCUAGUGCUUUCAAGCUCUCCUGGGCAGGAUGGCUUUUCUUGAGAAGGAAAACAUUAUAGCUCCAGAAAUCGGACCGAAAACAAAACUGUUAAAAGUGCUACAAACACACAGGGCUAUAUAAAUUGUGGCAGUUGAACAAAGAUUGAGUUAUGGAAGCAUUGCCCUGAUGGUGACUGAAGCCAACAAAGGAAGAAGGGAACUCUCAAUCAAGUCACUCAAACUUAGGCUAUGAGUCCAUCUACAAUCCAAUAUCCAUCCAUCUAACAAGUCACUCUGAUCCAACCUGAUUGUUCUUCUUCAGAAGUCCCUGAAAAGCUCUUUGAUUUCCUUUUCUCAACCACCUGUGUUAGAGACAAGUGACUGUCUCAAUCUAUAGGCUUCUUUUCUUCCUUUAUAAGUGAACCCUCUAUUUUUUAGUGAGAAAUCUGACAAUCCAGAAUUCAGACUACAUUUUCCAGCCUCUCUUUAAAAUGUCUGUGACUCAUAGAUCCAAAUUCUGGCCAAUGGUAUGGAGGUAACAUGAAGUAUCAGUUACCAAAUGAGAA